ACGCUGGCGGCGUGCUUAACACAUGCAAGUCGAACGGUAAGGCCCUUCGGGGUACACGAGUGGCGAACGGGUGAGUAACACGUGGGUGAUCUGCCCUGCACUUCGGGAUAAGCCUGGGAAACUGGGUCUAAUACCGGAUAGGACUCCUGGCUUCAUGGUUGGGGGUGUAAAGCUUUUGCGGUGUGGGAUGGGCCCGCGGCCUAUCAGCUUGUUGGUGGGGUAAUGGCCUACCAAGGCGACGACGGGUAGCCGGCCUGAGAGGGUGACCGGCCACACUGGGACUGAGAUACGGCCCAGACUCCUACGGGAGGCAGCAGUGGGGAAUAUUGCACAAUGGGUGCAAGCCUGAUGCAGCGACGCCGCGUGAGGGAUGACGGCCUUCGGGUUGUAAACCUCUUUCAAUAGGGACGAAGCGCAAGUGACGGUACCUAUAGAAGAAGGACCGGCCAACUACGUG
RNAcentral lists this ribosomal RNA (457 nucleotides) under uncultured bacterium. Its description in RNAcentral is "bacterial SSU rRNA". It matches the Rfam family "Bacterial small subunit ribosomal RNA", at positions 33 to 507 of the family's 1533-position model. The record is from RNAcentral.